RNAcentral lists this ribosomal RNA (242 nucleotides) under uncultured bacterium. RNAcentral's name for it is "partial 16S ribosomal RNA". It matches the Rfam family "Bacterial small subunit ribosomal RNA", at positions 91 to 334 of the family's 1533-position model. The record is from RNAcentral.
CGGACCGGCGCACGGGUGCGUAACGCGUAUGCAACCUACCUUUAACAGGGGAGUAACACUGAGAAAUUGGUACUAAUACCCCAUAAUAUCAUAGAAGGCAUCUUUUAUGGUUGAAAAUUCCGAUGGUUAGAGAUGGGCAUGCGUUGUAUUAGCUAGUUGGUGGGGUAACGGCUCACCAAGGCGACGAUACAUAGGGGGACUGAGAGGUUAACCCCCCACACUGGUACUGAGACACGGACCAG